RNAcentral lists this ribosomal RNA (253 nucleotides) under uncultured bacterium. RNAcentral describes it as "partial 16S ribosomal RNA". It matches the Rfam family "Bacterial small subunit ribosomal RNA", at positions 524 to 776 of the family's 1533-position model. The record is from RNAcentral.
UACGUAGGGUGCGAGCGUUGUCCGGAAUUACUGGGCGUAAAGAGCUUGUAGGCGGUUUGUCGCGUCUGCUGUGAAAUUUCGGGGCUCAACCCCGAACUUGCAGUGGGUACGGGCAGACUAGAGUGUGGUAGGGGAGACUGGAAUUCCUAGUGUAGCGGUGAAAUGCGCAGAUAUCAGGAGGAACACCGAUGGCGAAGGCAGGUCUCUGGGCCAUAACUGACGCUGAGAAGCGAAAGCAUGGGGAGCGAACAGG